GAGAUCAAUUGCCCGCUUGGCCUUACGUCGGUCGAUACUUUCCAGACCUAUGGUAAUCGGCAGACGCGAUGACCCGGAUGGGUGGUU
RNAcentral lists this small RNA (87 nucleotides) under Sinorhizobium meliloti 2011. RNAcentral describes it as "putative ncRNA". The record is from RNAcentral. Lineage: Bacteria; Pseudomonadati; Pseudomonadota; Alphaproteobacteria; Hyphomicrobiales; Rhizobiaceae.